UGGGGAAUCUUCCGCAAUGGACGAAAGUCUGACGGAGCAACGCCGCGUGAGUGAAGACGGCCUUCGGGUUGUAAAGCUCUGUGAUUCGGGACGAAAGGCCAUAUGUAAAUAAUAUAUGGAAAUGACGGUACCGAAAAAGCAAGCCACGGCUAACUACGUGCCAGCAGCCGCGGUAAUACGUAGGUGGCAAGCGUUGUCCGGAAUUAUUGGGCGUAAAGCGCGCGCAGGCGGUCACUUAAGUCCAUCUUAGAAGUGCGGGGCUUAACCCCGUGAUGGGAUGGAAACUGGGAGACUGGAGUAUCGGAGAGGAAAGUGGAAUUCCUAGUGUAGCGGUGAAAUGCGUAGAUAUUAGGAAGAACACCGGUGGCGAAGGCGACUUUCUGGACGAAAACUGACGCUGAGGCGCGAAAGCGUGGGGAGCAAACAGG
Molecule: ribosomal RNA, 428 nt
Filed under: Verrucomicrobiota bacterium
Lineage: Bacteria; Pseudomonadati; Verrucomicrobiota
Description: Verrucomicrobia bacterium partial 16S ribosomal RNA
Rfam family: Bacterial small subunit ribosomal RNA
Source: RNAcentral